AGAAGGAAUUCCACGCUUUUGGUGUUGUGAUUCAGUUGUGCAAUUUGAAGAAAGGAAUCAGCCAACUGAUUUGGACAGGAAGACAACGAGAAAUUAUUGAGACACUGCAGUCAUAGCAGAAUCCUUGCAGUCUGAAGCAGAUAAAAAGCAAGGGUGGACAAUAUGUUGGAAAGACAUUUGUAUAAACAGUGAACAGCAGUGAACAACAAACUCCAGUCCCAAGAUCCACUGAACAGCUGCCUGUUUCAAAGACUCUGGGGAAGUCAGGCGACAAAAAAAGUACAUUCUUGUCACCAUCCAGCAACCUGGAAUAUGGAUCUUUGCUCUGAAUAAAAAAAAAGAGGAGAGGAAAGAACAUGCCCUGAAAAGAAAAGGCGUCAACAGACAAUUUCAUAAAAAGGAAGUUCUGUAAGGUAAUAUUUGAGAUGAAAUGCUAGAAACUCUUCAGCUGUUAAAUAUCCUGUAUUAAACUUCAGAGCUGGAAGUCCCUUCUUCAGGUGAGGAAGUUCAGUGGGUCCAACUGGAGCUUCAUGAGACCAGUGGUGGAAACCAAUCCUCCUUGCUGAGGGCGAUGUGGAUUUCUCCCAUAGACAAUGACUGUUCUGCAGAAUCUAAGGUAAUGUUU
This is a long non-coding RNA of Tyto alba (common barn owl), 625 nucleotides long. RefSeq lists it as uncharacterized. The record is from RefSeq and is a predicted model, not a curated record. NCBI's taxonomy places the organism in Eukaryota, Metazoa, Chordata, Aves, Strigiformes, Tytonidae. The transcript has 3 exons.